GCUCCAAUAGCGUAUAUUUAAGUUGUUGCAGUUAAAAAGCUCGUAGUCGGACUUGGCUGAGAACGGUCGGUCCGCCGUUAGGUGUGCACUGACUGGUCUCAGCUUCCUGGUGAGGAGGUGUGCUUCACGGCCACUUAGUCACCGUGGUUACUUUGAAAAAUUAGAGUGUUCAAGCGGGCUUACGCUUGAAUAUAUUAGCA
RNAcentral lists this ribosomal RNA (200 nucleotides) under uncultured eukaryote. Its description in RNAcentral is "partial 18S ribosomal RNA". It matches the Rfam family "Eukaryotic small subunit ribosomal RNA", at positions 588 to 809 of the family's 1831-position model. The record is from RNAcentral.